CCUACGGGACGCAGCAGUGGGGAAUAUUGCACAAUGGGCGCAAGCCUGAUGCAGCCAUGCCGCGUGUAUGAAGAAGGCCCUAGGGUUGUAAAGUACUUUCAGUCGGGAGGAAGGCGUUGAUGCUAAUAUCAUCAACGAUUGACGUUACCGACAGAAGAAGCACAGGCUAACUCCGUGCCAGCAGCCGCGGUAAUACGGAGGGUGCAAGCGUUAAUCGGAAUUACUGGGCGUAAAGCGCACGCAGGCGGUCUGUCAAGUCGGAUGUGAAAUCCCCGGGCUCAACCUGGGAACUGCAUUCGAAACUGGCAGGCUAGAGUCUUGUAGAGGGGGGUAGAAUUCCAUGUGUAGCGGUGAAAUGCGUAGAGAUGUGGAGGAAUACCGGUGGCGAAGGCAGCCCCCUGGACAAAGACUGACGCUCAGGUGCGAAAGCGUGGGGAGCAAACAGGAUUAGAUACCCCUGUAGUC
RNAcentral lists this ribosomal RNA (465 nucleotides) under uncultured bacterium. RNAcentral's name for it is "bacterial SSU rRNA". It matches the Rfam family "Bacterial small subunit ribosomal RNA", at positions 338 to 795 of the family's 1533-position model. The record is from RNAcentral.